Molecule: long non-coding RNA, 972 nt
Organism: Oncorhynchus tshawytscha (Chinook salmon)
Lineage: Eukaryota; Metazoa; Chordata; Actinopteri; Salmoniformes; Salmonidae
Source: Ensembl
UUUUGAGCCACUGCCGAGUGUGUCACUCACUGCGACUGGAGCCGCCAUCACUGAGGUAUACUGUAUUAACAACUGGAGACUGCAUUCAAGAUGCUAGUACACGAGUGCUUGGCAGCAUGCAGGCCUGCUGAGGGAUGGCCAGUCGGUGAAAAGCCCAGCAGCUGUUGGAUGCGUAGCUGCCUGUCCAAAAAUCUGCCAGGGCAGGACCUGUCUGUCCAAUAGUCAGCCAGGACCUACCCCAGACCUUGUGUAGCCUAUGCAUCUUGCUUAUUUUCAAACCCUGACCUGAGCCCCAAAUACAUUGAGUUUACAUAGAUGUAUUUUUGGCCCAUGGUUUACAUAUAUAAUGAGAAUACAAAACAUUAAGGACACUUGCUCUUUCCAUGACAUAGACUGACCAGGUGAAUCCAGGUGAAAGCUAUGAUCCCUUAUUGAUGUCACCUAUUAAAUCCACUGUAAUCAGUGUAGAUGAAGGAGAGGAGGCAGGCUACAGAAGGAUGUUUAAGUCUUGAGACAAUUGAGACAUGGAUUGUGUACAGUAUGUGUUCCAUUCAGAAGGUGAAUGGGCAAGACAAAAUAUAGCCUUUGAAUGGGGUAUAGUAUAGGUGUCAGGCGCACUGUUUUGAGUGUGUCAUGAACUGCAACGCUGCUGGGUUUUCAAGCUCAACAGUUUCCUAUGUGUGACAAGAAUGGACCAGCACCAGCCAACUUGACACAACUGGGGGAAGCAUUGGAGUCAACAUAGGACAGCAUACCUGUGGAAUGCUUUGGAAAUCUUGUAGAGUCCAUGCUCCGAUGAAUUGAGGCUGUUCUGAGGGGACAAGGGGGUGCAACUCAAUAUUAGGAAGGCAUUCCUAAUGUUUUGUACACUCAGUGAUGUUUUUGUCAGCUAUUCCUUAUUUAUUUUACUGAUUUGAUUGUUCUGAGUCUCUUUGAAUUAGACGAUUGACAUUAAGGCAGAACAGUUCAAAA